RNAcentral lists this ribosomal RNA (253 nucleotides) under uncultured bacterium. RNAcentral describes it as "partial 16S ribosomal RNA". It matches the Rfam family "Bacterial small subunit ribosomal RNA", at positions 524 to 776 of the family's 1533-position model. The record is from RNAcentral.
UACGAAGGGGGCUAGCGUUGCUCGGAAUCACUGGGCGUAAAGGGUGCGUAGGCGGGUCUUUAAGUCAGGGGUGAAAUCCUGGAGCUCAACUCCAGAACUGCCUUUGAUACUGAAGAUCUUGAGUUCGGGAGAGGUGAGUGGAACUGCGAGUGUAGAGGUGAAAUUCGUAGGUAUUCGCAAGAACACCAGUGGCGAAGGCGGCUCACUGGCCCGAUACUGACGCUGAUGCACGAAAGCGUGGGGAGCAAACAGG